AACGAACGCUGGCGGCAUGCCUAACACAUGCAAGUCGAACGAGAUCUUCGGGUCUAGUGGCGCACGGGUGCGUAACGCGUGGGAAUCUGCCCUUUGGUUCGGAAUAACAGUUGGAAACGACUGCUAAUACCGGAUGAUGACGAAAGUCCAAAGAUUUAUCGCCAGAGGAUGAGCCCGCGUAGGAUUAGCUAGUUGGUGUGGUAAAGGCGCACCAAGGCGACGAUCCUUAGCUGGUCUGGGAGGAUGAUCAGCCACACUGGGACUGAGACACGGCCCAGACUCCUACGGGAGGCAGCAGUGGGGAAUAUUGGACAAUGGGCGAAAGCCUGAUCCAGCAAUGCCGCGUGAGUGAUGAAGGCCUUAGGGUCGUAAAGCUCUUUUACCCGGGAUGAUAAUGACAGUACCGGGAGAAUAAGCUCCGGCUAACUCCGUGCCAGCAGCCGCGGUAA
RNAcentral lists this ribosomal RNA (449 nucleotides) under uncultured bacterium. Its description in RNAcentral is "partial 16S ribosomal RNA". It matches the Rfam family "Bacterial small subunit ribosomal RNA", at positions 29 to 523 of the family's 1533-position model. The record is from RNAcentral.